Long non-coding RNA from Pongo pygmaeus (Bornean orangutan), 3168 nucleotides. RefSeq lists it as uncharacterized. The record is from RefSeq and is a predicted model, not a curated record. The transcript is spliced from 2 exons. NCBI's taxonomy places the organism in Eukaryota, Metazoa, Chordata, Mammalia, Primates, Hominidae.
GAUGGUGCUUGCUGGGCUUAUGAAGUGCAGCUGUGUCCUCUCUUGCUCUGUAACACCCUCUCUGCCAGAAACAGCUCAGCAGGAAGGCAGCGGGGCACCCUGGAAACGUGCCCCUGGGCCCCACCUUACAGCCUCUGCUCCACUCCCUUCGUGGCAGAGUGGUUCAGGAGCAGUCUGCAUCCUCCUGCCAGGAGGCCAGGAAAAGCCACUCCUGGCCCUGGGCAGCUAUGUGGCUCUUGGUGGACCUCGGAACUCUGCGGGGACCAGAGGGCUGAGUGAGUCAGGCUGUGGAGGGCAGGCACCAUCCACAUUCUCAGACACUUUGGGUUAUAGUCUCUCUCUUCCUUGAUUAGAAGAGGCCUGGGAACUUCAGGUGGCGACUCUGGUGUUUCUGACUUUGGCUACCAGCAAACACUGCUGGAGGCUCUGCCCCGUCCACACCCAGCGUCUGUGAGCACGGAGGAGGCAUAAUCUGCAGAGUCUGACACAGGCCAUGCCUGACCAUCCUUGGCUGGCUACCUCCAGUGACACAGAACUGAGAAGCAAAGACGCCCAGGAGGCUGCAGUCAUUUAGCAGAGUGGUCGGAUGCCAGGGCUGUGCUGCCUGCAGCCUUUGUGGGGCUCAGUGACCAGAUGGGCAGCCCAUGCCAAGCCCAGUCCCCAGGGAUGCUGCCUGCGGUGCUCACGCAUCUUAUACAGGGACACACAAGAACUCUGGGCUCGACCCUGCAGCCUCUGCUCCAGCAUGCGGUGGUCCCAAGAGAUGUAGAACCAGCCCUUCCUCUGCAGUUGCACUGGAGACAAGGUCUUGCUGUGUUGCUCAGGCUGUUCUUGAACUGCUGGCCUCAAGCGAUCGUCCUGCCUCCACCUCCCAAAGGGCUGGGAUUACAGGCGUGAGCCCCCACACCCAGCUGGACGUCAGCCCAGCUUUUUGCACCCCCAUAUGCAUGUUUCUCUGUUGGAGCUUCUGUUUCUUAUGGCAGAAUCAUCAAGUCUCCACAUAAUCCCUGCUUUCUGUGGCAUGUCUUCCUACCAAACUCCUUCUUUCCCUCCCCGUGGACCUUCGUGUGAUGCUCUGUGUUGUUUCUUCAAUGAGGCCUGUUCCUCAGCGCAGCCCCCUUCAAAGCUGUCGGUCCACUGGCCUCUGCGGCCGAGGCUGGCCGCUGUUCUUGCCAGGACAGACGCGGUGGGUGUGCAGCUCUGGGCGUCCGAGCUCCCUUCUGGACCGGCAGUGAAGGAAGUCGCCACAGCACGCUGUUGAACUUCACACACCAAGACAGCAGCCCCGAGGCGCUCACCCAGCCCACAGGGCGAGGAGGGAAAAUACAACGGGAACAAUCAUGUGCAGUGUUUCUGGAACCUGAAAGCCGUUGGCUUAAGACGCAGGCUUCCGUGUGCAAAAGCUGAGCUGUGUAUUUUCAUGAGACCAAAGACACAUUGACGUCGUCAGGCAUCGGGGGCUCCCUGCAGCUCAGUGUGAGGUUCACUGACCUGGGCCCGUCUGUGAUGAUUCCUUGUUUACAUUCUGACCCGGACCUCCAACAUUCCUCAAAUUGUUGGGAACCAGGGAGUGAGAUCGGCACGAAGUUCAAACCCUCCCCUGCUGUCUGCACAGCCACCAGCCUUGUGGCUGGAACACGCUGGGGAUUUUAUGCAGGAACUGCGGGUGGAGGGAGACAGUGGGCAGAACAAGCUGGUGACCUUGGCGAAAAUGGAACCUCACCCUCCCGUGGGCAGCUGGGGGUCUGGGCCCUGCAAGGUCAAGGGGAGGACGCGUCUGCCGCCUUCCCCCACAGACGGCCAAGGACGGUCCGCACACCCUCUACUCCAGAGAAAACUCGGGUGUAGGAAGCAGGCGACUGUGAGGUCAGCUGCAUCUCUCUCUGGCCUGGGUCCCAGGGCCGGAGCCUCUGUCCUGGUCCUGGGGGUCUCCCCGCUGCGCACUUUGGGCAGCCCUGGACUCCUCGGGCAGCCCUGCUGGUAAAGUGCCCGAGGAGGUGAAUGUGCUGCUGGGCCGGAGUUCCGGUCGGGAAAUCUCAGUGGGAACAGAGGCUGAGGACACACAAAGGGUCCCAGCAGCCAGAAGGGAAGGGGAGCAAGGGGAGCCCGGGACGGGCUGUGGGAGAAGACACCUGGAGCGAACUCGUGGGGUGACAGUGGACGCUGUCUGCGGGGCAGGAGAGGGAGAUGGUCCAGGCCCCCAGGCCUCAGGUGGAACCAGGCAGGAGACCCACGCGUGCAAGGCAGGCCGAUGGGGCCCAGUAGAGAGGGGUCAGUUGGGGCACAGAGCUCGGAGCAGGGUGGCCGUGGGGCUCCGCUCACGGGGAGAGGCACAGGGUCAGAGUGAGAAACCCUUCCUGCCUCAGCCAGGCUGGCCGUGGAGAUGGGCCGUGGCUGCCACUGUGUGUUUAUGGGGCCGAGAAUGGGGAGGGCGUCCCCAGCAGGGCAUUUGGGGUCAGGAGGCGCCCAUGGGCCGGCAACACCAUGGGCUGGAGAUACCGCGUCUGGCAAAGGGAAGCCCCCAGUCGGGCAGCCUCACAGCCCACUGUGGUGUCCGGCUUGAGGCGGGGGCUGUGUGCAUCCUCGGGGAGAACAGUCGGCCCCGGGCAAGGGGCUGCCCCUCAGGCCCCCAUCACUGAAAGGCCACAGGCUGGGGAUUCGAGCUUGGUCUCGGAUCUAAGGCUUGGACUGAAGUCUAGUGAGGAUCUGACACCGUCGGGGAGGCCUGUGGUCCCCGUCCAUGGCCAGGCGGAGGGAGCAGGCAUCCCCUGUUCACCCAUCAGCUGCCUGAGCUCCGCGCACCUCAUGGCCGGGUGCUUUGGUAUCCGGGAUACUUCACUGAAAAGAGAUUUUUUCCAUUGUGGCCGAGAACGAGGGAUUUAAAAAACAUCAAGCCAAACCCCGUCUUUUUGAGCAGCUGUCAUGUCCGCUCUGCUGGCUUCGUGCCCGGCCACGUCACCAUCACUUUCCAAAAGUGUCGCUGUGGAAGGCUCACUGGGAGGACAAGUGUCUGCCCCACCCUCACUUUCUCUGUUCCCUAUUUUCUCACCACUUCUUGUUAAUUUGGGGCUGCUUCUUCCUUUUGCUCCUGCUCAGGCUCUGGAUUCUGGGCUCCGUCCUGUGGGCAGUUUUGUGAGCUUAUGAUUAAAUACCUGAUAUUAUGAAAUA